RNAcentral lists this ribosomal RNA (252 nucleotides) under uncultured bacterium. Its description in RNAcentral is "partial 16S ribosomal RNA". It matches the Rfam family "Bacterial small subunit ribosomal RNA", at positions 524 to 776 of the family's 1533-position model. The record is from RNAcentral.
UACGUAGGUGGCAAGCGUUGUCCGGAUUUAUUGGGCGUAAAGCGCGCGCAGGCGGAUCAUUCAGUCUGUCUUAAAAGUUCCCGGCUUAACCCCGUGGUGGGAUGGAAACUGCGGAUCUAGAGUACCGGAGAGGAAAGUGGAAUUCCUAGUGUAGCGGUGAAAUGCGUAGAUAUUAGGAAGAACACCAGUGGCGAAGGCGACUCUCUGGACGGUAACUGACGCUGAGGCUCGAAAGCGUGGGGAGCGAACGGG